RNAcentral lists this transfer RNA (65 nucleotides) under Candidatus Paralachnospira caecorum. It matches the Rfam family "tRNA", at positions 5 to 66 of the family's 71-position model. Rfam says of the family: Transfer RNA (tRNA) molecules are approximately 80 nucleotides in length. Their secondary structure includes four short double-helical elements and three loops (D, anti-codon, and T loops). The record is from RNAcentral. Lineage: Bacteria; Bacillati; Bacillota; Clostridia.
CUGUAGCUCAGCUGGAUAGAGCAACGGCCUUCUAAGCCGUGGGUCGCGGGUUCGAAUCCCUCCAG